AUGACUCGCAACGAGCAUAUUGCUCUAGAGGAAGGGACGACUACCGAAUCUUCAAUGACAGAUAAACAGAUGUGGUCUCGUUUGUGGAAGCUCAAAGUCAUUCCCAAAGUGAGAGUCUUCUGGUGGCGGGUGUUGCAAGGCAUUCUCCCCGUCGAAGCCACUCUGAAAUACCGCCAUAUUGCGACGGUAAGCACAUGCAAAUUGUGUCUUCAGUCUGAUGAAGAUAUGAUGCACGCACUACUGGAGUGCCCUCGCGCGAGGCAGUUUUGGGAUGCAACACCAGGGUGGCUAAAUGUUAAAAGGCCGAUCCUGCACCCGCUAACCUGGUCAAGGGAUAUCCUAUGUGACGAUAUAUUUUCAGUCUGA
RNAcentral lists this ribosomal RNA (366 nucleotides) under Triticum aestivum (bread wheat). RNAcentral describes it as "partial small subunit ribosomal RNA". Lineage: Eukaryota; Viridiplantae; Streptophyta; Magnoliopsida; Poales; Poaceae. The record is from RNAcentral.